RNAcentral lists this long non-coding RNA (5110 nucleotides) under Nicotiana benthamiana. Its description in RNAcentral is "long non-coding RNA (NBEN_LNC006375)". The record is from RNAcentral. Lineage: Eukaryota; Viridiplantae; Streptophyta; Magnoliopsida; Solanales; Solanaceae.
GGCAUACACAAUAUCAACUCUAGCACUAAUACUUCUCCCAAAACCCGAAGUCGCAUGAAAUCGCAAGCUAAGGAUACUACAUAGUGCUCUAACUCCAGAAUGUCUAAAACAAAGUAAAUAACGAAGGGAUAUAACUACAAGAGGGAAUGGAGAGAGACUCAUCGGUCUGCGAACACGGUGGAUAUACCUCGAAGUCUACGAAGGAUCGCCUCAGCUCAAGGGUGGUAUGUCUGAGUAGAGGUACCUUGAUCUGCACAUGAAAAACAUACGCCUAAAGGGCAUGAGUACACCGUAGCGGUACUCAGUAAGUGCCAAGACUAACCUCGAUCGGGUAGUGACGAGGAUGGUCAGUGCCCUACUGAGAUUAAAUAAAAUAUAAGGUAUAACAGUAUAAGGUAAAACAGUAUAGUCGAAAGAUAAUAGUGAGAAAUAAAAUAGGAUAAUAAGGGUAACAACCUUAACUAAAAUUGAGACAAAAUAGUCACAAGAAAUACCACUUUUCACAAAGAUAAAUAUUUGGGAAUCUCUCAGUAUCCCGGGAUCUCUUGGUAUCAUCAAUAUAUGCAUGCCAAGGAUCUCUUGGUAUCCCGAGGAUCUCUUGGUAUCCUCAAUAUGUGCUAGGGAUAUCUUGGUAUCUCGAAGAUCUUUUGGUAUUCUCAAUAUGUACUAGGAAUCUCUUGGUAUACCGAGGAUCUUUUGGUAUCCUCAAUAUAUGCCAGAGAUCUCUUGGUAUACCGCACUUCAGCUCGAAUCAUAAAUAUGUACAGGGGAUCUUCCAGGAUGUUGUCUUGUAGUCCCAAAGUGAAACAUACAAUAGUAGCACAAGGAAUACUCAUUUAAACUCGACUUCACACCAAGGUAAAAUAGGAAAUUCUAGCCUAGCAUGCUUCACGUAAUACAAAUAAGGCAGUUAAAGCAAAUAGAGCAAUUAAGUCAAUUAGACAUGCUUUUCUAAGCUAACAACAAGCCUUAAAUUCCAAGUAGUGUAGGCAGGGAAGAAAAAUCAGAACUAAAGCUAUUUUAAUGAAAAUAGGAUUUUCAACAAUUAGCACAAGUACGCACCUGUCACCUCACGUACAAGGCAUUUCAAUUUUCACAACACCAAUCCUAAGGGGAAUUUCCCCACACAAUGUUAGACAAGCCAUUGCCUCAACCAUGCUCAAAUCAAUCCAAAACCACGCUCUUUCCAUGAGUACUUGGCUCCUAAUUGACCAAAUCUACUCAAUUCGUAAUGUAAAUAAUACUUCAAGAAACUGAUUCUACAAAGAAAUUCUAAGCUAGCACGCGAAUUUAGAUAAAAUAACCAAAAUGCCCUUGGGGUCCACGUCUCGAAUUCGGGUGAAAUUUACAAAUUCUGUAUCCUCAUACUCUCACGAACUCAUAUGUAUAACAAUUACUCCAAUCCGACAUCAAAAUCGUGAUCUAAACUCAAUUGUUUGGUCUAGGAAAUUUCUAUAAUUUUCCAGCAUAAAUUCGAAAUUAAAGGACGGAUUUAAGUGUAGAUUCCUGGCUUUAGUCUAAAUCGAGCAAGAAUUACUUGCCCAAAAUACCCAGGUGAAAAUCUCUCUUAAAAUCACCAAUCUCGUGCUCCCAAAUCAAAUUUUCCAGGUUUUGAACUAAAAUCCUGAUUAUGUCCCUUUUAUACCCAGUGCAACUGCAUCUGCGGUCCCGUUUCUGCGAGGACAUGGUCGCAUCUACAACAUUUCGCUUAAAGGAUUCCGCUUCUGCGAUUGACUUUCUGCACCUGCGGUCUCGCACCAGUGUUACCCUUCUCGCAUAUGUGGCUCCUGGAGUUGGAGAAGAAAUUCUGCUUCUAUGAUCCAAUAGCCGCUUCUGCGGCACCGCACCUAUGGUCCCACACACACGAGUGCAGUUAUGACAGGUUCAACAAUGAAAAAUCUUCCUAAGUCAAAAUUCAACUUCCGUAAGCACCUAAAACUCACCCGAGGCCCCAAGACCUCAACCAAACAUGUCAACCAAUCCUAAAAGAGCAUUCAAACUUGUUCCAACCUUUGGAACACUCAAAACAAUAAUUUAACAUUGAAUUCAAGCCUAGGAACUUCAAAAACUCACAAUUUAUGCUUUCCAUCAAAAAGUUUAUCAAACCUCGUUCGAAUGACCUAAAAUUUCCACACACAUCACAUUCAACACUACGGAGCUACUCCAACUUCCAACCUUGGAUCAAAAUCUCACUAUCAAACUAGAAACUUCAAAAUUUUGACUUUUGGCAUUUCAAGCAUUAAUUAGCUACGGACCUCCAAAGCAUAAUCUAAUCAUGCACCUAAGCUCGAAAUUACUCAACGGAGCUAAUAGAACCAUUGGAAUUCCAUUUUGAGGUCGUAUUCACGUUGUUCUGACUAAGGUCAAAUUUUCAACACUUAAGCUCUCAUUUAGGGACUAAGUAUCCCAAGACUCUUUGAAACUCAAAACUGAACAUCCCGGCAAUUCAAAAUAGCAUAAAUAAAUGUAGGGGAAGCAGUUAAUAGGGGAUCGAGACGUAAAUUCUUAAGACGACCGGCCUGGUCGUCACAAUAUACCUAUAAUCAUGUCUGGUGAGGACUCCAAAUUCUGGCGACCCGAUAAUAUAUAGAUACAAUUCUAAUGUUGCCCACCCGAGCCAGUCAUUCCACCUCUAUCUCUACACAUCCCAAUGGUGGUUGCAUACCUUGAUCAUGAAGGCAUACCCUCGAUGACGAAGAUGUUGAUGAUCCUAUUGGUGGUAUCAUGCCACCCAUAUUUCUCAUUCGGCAAAAGAGCAUGAUGUAAUCGGGUUACUCACAAGAAUAAUAUCCGAACCUUGGCAGCAUUGCCUAAAAUAAGUCCUACCACAUCAUGGACAAGAUAGCAUCAAGGGUAUCGCCCUACUAUGGUCCCUAUUGUUCUGUGAACUCUACCAUCGGAAAAUCUUGCCUUGACUUGAAUGAAUGGUCCAUUCGUGAUGCUGGACUUAGGUCUUGGAUGGCAUGCUGGCCACCAAGCUUGGUGAUUGCCAAAGAAAUAAGGAUCUAAACCCGCCUCGAAGCUUUCCCGUGUCUCCCAUGGACUGGCUCUCUUAGAUUAACCCUAGUCGUGUUCUCGAGCAGCUUGCUGCAGCUUCUUGCAAUUCUCCAAGUUUUGUGAAUAGUCCCGAAUGUGAGCAAUAUCCAUAAUUGGAUUCAAGGAUGUUGUGGUGCAUUCUUUUAUCAAACGCGGCCCUAAACUGGCAACAAAUCAAUGUACCUGGUUAGUCAUCUCGGCCACCACUGUUGGAGCAUACCUAGCCAGGGAGUGAAAUUGCAUGUUGUACUCUGGGACACAGAUAUUACCUUGCUCCAACCACAACAAUCUAUCUUGUCUACCUAUACUGAGUCCAACAUGCAUAUAUUUCUCUGUAAAAGGAAUUCUCUACAAACUCAUGCAUUACCCAUAAAUUCUGUUGUACUUGAUCUAAAAAGUUCUAAGGAUCUUUGUUUGAGUAUGUUCCCGUGAAUACAGGGGGAUCCAAAUUUAUGAAGUCUCGAACUCUCAUACUGAUUGUUCUUUCUAAAGUGGUAGGGAUCUGAUGUUCGGCCUGAGAGGCCACCAACCGAGGUAACAACUGUACUGCACUUCUCAUGUCUAUAUCCUAUUUAGGCUCAACUGGUGGAGGAAUAAGAGCUUCAUUAACUUCUAUAUGUUGUCCCAGAGGUGGUGGUGUUGUCCCCAAAACCUGUCUCUCGACCUUCUCGUAGGGUCCAUAUUGACUCAUCAGGGCAUGCGGCGCCUAGCUAGUACCUUCUCUUCCUUCUUUGUUUAAUCCUUGAGUAGUGUUUAACUUCUCAUGGUAGGCAUUAAUAUAAAUAUGAAUAAAUGGGUAAUAAAAGAAAAUACUUAUGACUCGGCUCUAUCGCACUAUCCAGAUAGAAAGAAGGGUAUUCAUCCUAAAUAUAGUGUAUCCUCCUGCUUAUAAGUAUGGUGCGCCACAUACCAUAAAAAAGACACUACUAGAUACGGCUUGCAGACUUCCUAGAACACGACCUACUCUGAUACCUAGUUUGUCACAAUGUAAUCUUGGUAGGUGCGACCAGCACAUGAUGCAAGAAGGCCCGUGCAAACUGAUGCAUGUUGUUACAUUUUUUUAUUUAUUAAAUCGGGCCAUUGAGGCCUCCAAGUAAAAAUACCAUAACUAUAAUGUGUACAUCUGAUUAGGGAAAGAAGCACUUACUUUCCAUACAUAUCUACGACUGUAACAAAGUUAUACUUACACCUUUUUACAUACAACUGAAUCUAGUCUGCAAACCUCUAAGAGAAUUCAAAGUUAUAAACAUAUACAUAACAUGGUUGAGACAUGACCCCACCAUACCCAGAAUGUUUAGAAUAUUUGCAUCAAUACCUAUUGACUUUUGAACUGCUACUCCAAAAGAGUAGAGGGAUACAACCAAUUAGUUGGAAUAGCACCCUACUGGGAGAGAUGUCACCAGAUCUAUCUGUACUUAUGGGCAUCGACACAACACCCAAAAGUAAGGGGCGUUAGUACAAAAAAUAUACUGAGUAUUUAAGGCUAAACAUAUAAAUUAGGGAUAUUAUAUAAGAGAUAUAUAAGCAUGCCUUCAACUUGGGUACCGCCAGAAGUAGACUUAAAAAUACACAAGAUUUAUAAAGGGUUAGGCCACUUAGGGAGAUUAUACGCUGGAUUCAAUAUAACAUCAUUCAGCCCCGUUUAGGGCAUAUCACCACAUAUUGCGCUUAGAUUUGAGUUCAAGUGAUAAAAAAUUUGAGCUCAGAACGUAUUAUACUCUUUGACCCCAGGACACCAACUUGGAAUAUCAUAGACUUCAAAAUAAAUGCAACCAGCAUGAAUGUACAAGAACGGGAUAACAUUAUCGAGAGUUGUUUAGAUCUAUCAAACCUUAUAGCACAAUAAUCAUUUAGAAUGAAGGAGAAACUAACGCUAACGCAUGCAAAUAAAAGAAAGUCUCCCUACAUACCUUGUUGAAGAUCUAAUUACACUUAUAUGGUGGUUAACUUCAAUUAAAAAUCUUCAGAACCAUCUCCUGAUUUAGUUUGGUCUAUUCUAGAACUUCAAAGGAUGUGUGAGGAUUUUUGGUGAAUUAUGGUGAGUGGUAUUUCUCAAAAGUGAAAAAUAUUGAGC